CCUAGGGAGGCCUGUUCAGCUCAAGAAAGCUAGAAAGGAACUCUUUAUAGGGAGUGAAGUGAUAGGACAGGAUUUCCAACCCAAACCACUCUAUGAAUCUACUUUGAGUGUUUCUCUGAAAAUGAUGUAUGAUUGAACAGAGACAAAUUAGAAGAGUAUGCAGAGAAAGAAGUCUGGGAAGGGGAGGUUAAAAGGAAAUCAUACGCCCUUUACCACCCCAAUUUGCUCCUCCUGGAAACAUUCUCAGUGAUAGUCUGGAACCAUUAGUGUGGAAGUGACAAGUUUUCUGUCAUGGACUGACUACUGUCAACUACUGUCAAAUGACAAUUCAUUACUCUCUUAAAAAAAAAUUAAAAUAAAUUCUGUCUUUC
Molecule: long non-coding RNA, 371 nt
Filed under: Gallus gallus (chicken)
Lineage: Eukaryota; Metazoa; Chordata; Aves; Galliformes; Phasianidae
Description: long non-coding RNA NONGGAT007157
Source: RNAcentral